Molecule: long non-coding RNA, 259 nt
Filed under: Phoenix dactylifera (date palm)
Lineage: Eukaryota; Viridiplantae; Streptophyta; Magnoliopsida; Arecales; Arecaceae
Description: long non-coding RNA (PDAC_LNC014765)
Source: RNAcentral
GCUACCCCUUUCUCUUUCUGAUCUAAUCAGUUCAGCUUCAACCUUCAGAGCCCUGUCCAGUACAUCCCUGUAGCUAUUAAAAAUUAGAACUGACAACCGGGAUCGAAUCCCGUAUCUCAAGCCUUGCUCAAAUCUGUUGGCCUUGCUUUGAUCAUCCUCCAUAAGUCGAGGACAGAACCGGCCUAAUUCAUUAAACUUAUUGGCAUAUUCCAGCACCGUCAUAUUCUCUGACUGCCUUAAGGAUAGGAACUCAUUCUCC